Molecule: non-coding RNA, 345 nt
Organism: Dialister invisus CAG:218
Lineage: Bacteria; Bacillati; Bacillota; Negativicutes; Veillonellales; Veillonellaceae
Rfam family: transfer-messenger RNA
About the family: Bacterial tmRNA, also known as 10Sa RNA or SsrA, is named for its dual tRNA and mRNA-like properties. Its role is to liberate the mRNA from a stalled ribosome.
Source: Rfam
GGGGAUGUACCGGUUUCGACAGGAGAUUCUGUAUCAUAAAAAGCGAGUCGGGAUUCCAUCUACCCCGUUAAACGGUGGAAAAACUUAAACGCAAAACAUGAUUUUGCUUUAGCAGCUUAAUCUGCUAAUGUCCCCUGAAGUUUUCCUAUGACUUCAGGCUGACAUCAACCAAUAGGAUACCGAGAGAGGAGGCUUGGGACUUUUUAGGGAAACUAAUUCCAAGAUCGGCAAAGGUAGUUUGUUUUUGUACGAUACUUUGCUUAAAUAAAAAAACAAGAACUGCACUCGGAGAAGUUUAUGGGGCAGGCUUUUUGGACAGGGGUUCGACUCCCCUCAUCUCCACCA